UAACCCUAACCCUAGCAACUAUUUCAGGUAACCCUAACCCUAACCCUAGCAACUAUUUCAGGUAACCCUAACCCUAGCAACUAUUUCAGGUAACCCUAACCCUAACCCUAACAACUAUUUCAGGUAACCCUAACCCUAGCAACUAUUUCAGGUAACCCUAACC
Lates calcarifer (barramundi perch) is the source of this 163-nucleotide long non-coding RNA. RefSeq lists it as uncharacterized. The transcript has 3 exons. Lineage: Eukaryota; Metazoa; Chordata; Actinopteri; Centropomidae. The record is from RefSeq and is a predicted model, not a curated record.